This 224-nucleotide unclassified non-coding RNA is filed under the name uncultured Alphaproteobacteria bacterium. RNAcentral describes it as "contains 16S-23S intergenic spacer region". Lineage: Bacteria; Pseudomonadati; Pseudomonadota; Alphaproteobacteria. The record is from RNAcentral.
UCCGGCUUAUCACCGGCAGUCCCUUUAGAGUGCCCAACUAAAUGAUGGCAACUAAAGGCGAGGGUUGCGCUCGUUGCGGGACUUAACCCAACAUCUCACGACACGAGCUGACGACAGCCAUGCAGCACCUGUCUCCGGUCCAGCCGAACUGAAAAGGUCCAUCUCUGGUCCUCGCAACCGGGAUGUCAAGGGUUGGUAAGGUGGGGAUGACGUUCGUCAGUCAA